GCGUGCGUGUGUGCGUGUGUUUUCAGAGCGUAAAAUUUUUCUACGAGUUGGACUGCGGGCCAACUAACUGUCCGGAUGGGGCUGAGGAUGCCGCCCCGGUGGGUGGCGAGGUUCAGCGCAAUCGCCGACUGGUAGCUAGAGUCCAACGCUGGAUGCGCGGGUGACGGGGCUGUCUUCACGUGCGCACCUUCAGUGUUGUUCAGCUCGAACUCAGUCCCCAGCCUAGCGAGGCGCGUUGGGCAAGGCACCGUCCAUCCGACAGAUGGCAUGCAGUUAAGUGGCUAUUGGCUCUUACCCUUGAUUGAAUAAAUCCACAUCAUAGUGAGUUUUCUACCACGCCUCCAGACCUGCGGCUCCACCACUGACUGCUGGGCAACACUGAAUGAGGAAACUGAGGCGGAGUUUAACAGAUGAAGUCAUUUGUCCAAAGUAACCAAGCCAGCAAGGGCAGAGUCAGAUUUGUACCCACGCCAGAGAGGAACAGGAAAAGACGUGGGAUCCGACUCUAAACUCUGGAACGCACCUCAGUGUCAGGUGUUCUCUGGAUCAAAAGGCAGAUGAACAUGUGCAGCAGUAUUCAUCAGAUUAUAUCAAACGUGUGUACGGAUGGAACAUGAGGUGUCCUAAGUGCAAGAAAUACUGUGGAGGUGACGAGUCAGCAUACACGCAUCACAGAGAACGGUUUCUGGUCCAUCGCAAAGUCUGUACAUGUGUUUGCUACUCUCGAUGUCAGUACCAACAAUCUCAUCAUCAUUAUCAUUAUGGAAUGUAAUCGAUGGUAUAAAUUAAGCACACAGAGCAGCAGAUACACUAUUAUAAAGGGAUUACCUCCUCCCUCCCAUCUCAUAAUUUUAGAAAUGCACAGAAAAGAUGCCCAGAAGGCAGGCAGCACAUAUUAGGUCAUUUUCUCUAAGUGGGGACCUCUAGGUGAUUUUUAAAUAACACUUUAGGCACUGUUUUAUGUGCUGUAUCUUCAUUAUUACACAGUCGAGUGCUUCUAUUAUAAUUUUUAAAAAGGUUUUUGGGACGUUUCAUUGUCGUGGCAUCUUGAUGCCUCGGGGUAAAAAAUUGUUUUGAUAUCCUUGCCAGGUGAAAAUCUAAUCAGUGCAUGUAAAGCAGAAGACAGAUCUGCGGUACAGUAGAGAAGAGCUGUGGGGGAAGCAGAGAGGUCGGGAUGGAAGGUUAGCUGUGUCUGCAAGUGUUGUGAAAAUGCCACAGAUGGAUGACACAGGCCCAAACCAAACCAAACAGCAACUUGCAGAUCCCUAAUAGAGACCUCGUUCUAUGGAGAGGAGUAUCUAUAUUAAGACUUGUUAGGCCUUCCCUAUCUUUCGGCUCCCGUAGUGCAGUGGGGCAGCAUGUGGAUGUUGUAAGAGGCAGUAACGCUUUGUGCUACGCUGCAGACACAGGAAAAGGUGGCAGCAUUAGACAGAUGUGUGGGAAGUAAGAGGAACGGAACUCAGCAAGGAUUUAGACUUAAGGGGAAGGCGAGGAAGAUGUAAAUGGUUAAGACCGUUUCUGCAUUUGGUAAUGAGCACGCUGGUGCCUUCUGUUGGCAUGCGGAAUACCAGAAGAGGGCCAGGUCUGUGACCGGUUCUGAAAUAAGACCUUUAUUUUUAUGAGCUCAUGGUCAAAAUGGAAUACAAACAUCAAAACUUAAAUACUUACCUUAUCAGAUACUUUUCCUUUAAAGAAAAAAAAAGUCAGAGGUACUGAGAUCGAAUUUACAUUUCAAGUAUACAGUUUGCAGAGUUUUGACAACUGUACACAAUCCUUUAACUGCCACCACGAUAAAAAUAUGGAAAAUUUCCAUCAAUUGAUCAUGUUCCCUUGUGCCAUUUGCCAUCGGGAUCCUUCUUCCACUCCCAUACCCUGGGAACCACAGAUGUACUUCUGUGCCUAUAGUUGUGUUUUUUCCAGAAUACUCUUUACAUAAAAUCAUAUAAUGUGUAGCCUUUUGGGUCCAGCUUCUUUAAUUUAGCACACUUGAGAUGCAUUCAUGCUGUUAUGUGCAUCGGUUGUUUGUUUUUAGUACUGUGCAGUACUCCUUUGUGUGGGUGUACCUGUUUAUUUUCCUUUCAUCCAAAUUCCAGGGGUUGAUCACUUGGGGAUGUUUCUAGGUUUGGCUAUUAUGAAUAAAAGUGGUAUGUUGGAGUACAA
Long non-coding RNA from Pteropus alecto (black flying fox), 2160 nucleotides. RefSeq lists it as uncharacterized. The transcript has 3 exons. The record is from RefSeq and is a predicted model, not a curated record. Lineage: Eukaryota; Metazoa; Chordata; Mammalia; Chiroptera; Pteropodidae.